Long non-coding RNA from Quercus lobata, 497 nucleotides. RefSeq lists it as uncharacterized. The transcript has 3 exons. The record is from RefSeq and is a predicted model, not a curated record. NCBI's taxonomy places the organism in Eukaryota, Viridiplantae, Streptophyta, Magnoliopsida, Fagales, Fagaceae.
UCUGACCGAACCAUCAUCACAAACACAGCCUCUGCUCUUCUUCCUCUGAGUGAACCCAUACCGAACCCACUCUUCUCUCCCUGACUAAACCCAAAAGCCCAGUCUUGAAAGUCAUAUUCUCAUCUCAAAACCGAAGAUUCAUGGGAGGGGAUUAGGCUUCCAUUUGGGUCAGACUGAAGCUCCACGGGUCAGGCUUCCAUUUAGGUUUUGUUUUGGGUUAGGGAUUUUGUGGAUCUUGUAUUGCUGCUCAGUUCUUCCCGAUCUGAUCUUAGAGCUAAAAGCUUUACCCAAAUUUCGCACUCCAAAACCACCGCUGACCAGCGCACGGCGCCAUUUUGAGCUUUGGCGGACAAGUCCUCGGCUCAUCUCUAAUUCUCUCUUGUCAGUAUAACCAAAAACACUAGAGCGAUACCAGCAAUCUUGCUUCACUCCUCAGGAUAACAGCAUUGAACGUGAAGCACAGCUGCUGGAUUUCUGCACUGGAUAGCUGCUGCCUG